Molecule: unclassified non-coding RNA, 237 nt
Filed under: uncultured fungus
Lineage: Eukaryota; Fungi
Description: partial contains 5.8S ribosomal RNA, internal transcribed spacer 2, and large subunit ribosomal RNA
Source: RNAcentral
AACGCAACUUGCGCCCAGCAAUGGGCAUGUCUGUUCGAGUACCGCCAACCAAUGCAGCAAUGCGAUGUGGCUUGAGAUGAGUGAGUCUCGGCUAAAAUGGAGCAAGCGAGCGGAGUGUGUGUCUCGAGUGUGCCAAAUGCCAAAUGGCUUUAAACUCGCUCGACCAACACAACCUCCCUCCCACUCUUAUUCUUAUACUCUGGUCUCGAAUCAGGCAAGAUUACCCGCUGAACUUAA